GUUAAAGGGUCUUCCUUCCAGGUCUCUUCCCUGGGCAAGGCGUCGCGGAGCCCCAGAACUUCUUCUGGGCUGCGGCGCUCGCUGACUAAUGGCUGUUGGAUGCUGUUCUGGUCUUCAC
Non-coding RNA from Tursiops truncatus (common bottlenose dolphin), 118 nucleotides. Lineage: Eukaryota; Metazoa; Chordata; Mammalia; Artiodactyla; Delphinidae. The record is from Rfam.